RNAcentral lists this ribosomal RNA (966 nucleotides) under Pseudophloeospora eucalypti. RNAcentral describes it as "eukaryotic LSU rRNA". It matches the Rfam family "Eukaryotic large subunit ribosomal RNA", at positions 49 to 1129 of the family's 3401-position model. Lineage: Eukaryota; Fungi; Ascomycota. The record is from RNAcentral.
AGCGGAGGAAAAGAAACCAACAGGGAUUGCCCUAGUAACGGCGAGUGAAGCGGCAACAGCUCAAAUUUGAAAUCUGGCCUUCUGGUCCGAGUUGUAAUUUGUAGAGGAUGCUUUUGGUGCGGUACCUUCCGAGUUCCCUGGAACGGGACGCCUUAGAGGGUGAGAGCCCCGUACGGUUGGAUGCCUAGCCUCUGUAAAGCUCCUUCGACGAGUCGAGUAGUUUGGGAAUGCUGCUCUAAAUGGGAGGUAAAUUUCUUCUAAAGCUAAAUACCGGCCAGAGACCGAUAGCGCACAAGUAGAGUGAUCGAAAGAUGAAAAGCACUUUGAAAAGAGGGUUAAAUAGCACGUGAAAUUGUUGAAAGGGAAGCGCUUAUGACCAGACUUUUUCCUGGCGGAUCAUCCGGUGUUCUCACCGGUGCACUUCGCUUGGUUUAGGCCAGCAUCGGUUUCCGUAGGGGGAUAAAAGCUUCGGUAAUGUGGCUCCUUCUGGAGUGUUAUAGACCGUUGUAUAAUACCCUUCUGGGGACCGAGGUUCGCGCUUCUGCAAGGAUGCUGGCAUAAUGGUCAUCAGCGACCCGUCUUGAAACACGGACCAAGGAGUCGAACAUUUGUGCGAGUGUUUGGGUGUUAAACCCUCACGCGUAAUGAAAGUGAACGGAGGUGAGAGCCUUUUAGGUGCAUCAUCGACCGAUCCUGAAGUUUACGGAUGGAUUUGAGUAAGAGCAUAACUGUUCGGACCCGAAAGAUGGUGAACUAUGCGUGGAUAGGGUGAAGCCAGAGGAAACUCUGGUGGAGGCUCGCAGCGGUUCUGACGUGCAAAUCGAUCGUCAAAUCUGCGCAUGGGGGCGAAAGACUAAUCGAACCAUUAAAACCAGCGGUAAAAUUACUUUACUAGGUGGUUAAGAGGUGACCCGAGAGGUUGCAAGAUACCUAGGUUGGGCCGGGCUACCCGGUACCUCUCAGCGG